AUUUAAAAAUCACCUUGAUUUGAUGGUACUCUUGGGUACAAUUUCUAGUCUCCCAUUUUGGAGAGCUUUUUCACCAUAAAUACAUUUUAAAACACAAAAUGAGGUGAUUUGGCCCAUUUUUCUAUGUAUAUAAUUUAACCUUCAAAGGAUUAUGGUCUAUGGAGCAAACAGGUUAAUAGGAAGGUUUUAAAAAGACAUUUUUUCAUCUGAUGGGACAUAAUUGUACCUACGGAGCUGUUAUGGUCCAUUGUAUAAAUCCUUCAAAUUCAUGGACUAUUGGCCCAAAACACAGUAAUGGAUCCUGCAGAGCAUUGAAAAUCUAUCAUGUUAAUACUGCUGCAGCAUAUGCACAGUCUGAAGUUUAUUCUCCCAUCCACGCCUUAGAGGAUUUGUAUGUAAUUCUCAUAUUAAAAGACAUGAUUCCUGUACUCCAGACGGAAUGGUUUGCCAAGCCCCUUACAUGUUAAGUAAAACAUCUUCUCAGGAUUUGCACUAAAACCAAUGAUAAUAACAUAUUCCUGUAAAACA
Molecule: long non-coding RNA, 528 nt
Filed under: Bos taurus (domestic cattle)
Lineage: Eukaryota; Metazoa; Chordata; Mammalia; Artiodactyla; Bovidae
Description: long non-coding RNA NONBTAT010916
Source: RNAcentral